Molecule: ribosomal RNA, 253 nt
Filed under: uncultured bacterium
Lineage: Bacteria
Description: partial 16S ribosomal RNA
Rfam family: Bacterial small subunit ribosomal RNA
Source: RNAcentral
UACAGAGGUGGCAAGCGUUGUUCGGAUUUACUGGGCGUAAAGGGUGCGUAGGUGGUCGUUUGUGUCGGGUGUGAAAUCCCACGGCUCAACCGUGGAAUGGCAUUCGAAACUGGACGGCUAGAGUGCAGGAUGGGAGAGCGGAAUUCUUGGUGUAGCGGUGAAAUGCGUUGAUAUCAAGAAGAACACCGGUGGCGAAGGCGGCUCUCUGGAAUGCAACUGACACUGAGGCACGAAAGCUGGGGAAGCAAACAGG